Mauremys reevesii (Reeves's turtle) is the source of this 1123-nucleotide long non-coding RNA. RefSeq lists it as uncharacterized. The record is from RefSeq and is a predicted model, not a curated record. NCBI's taxonomy places the organism in Eukaryota, Metazoa, Chordata, Testudines, Geoemydidae. The transcript is spliced from 3 exons.
UAAGCAAUUGCUUGCAGCUCAAGGGGGCCCCCUAUUCUCUCUCUCUAUGAUAUUGUAUGGGGGGAGGCCCCCCAAAAUAUUCCCAAGGGGCCUGUGGUGGCCCCCCUCCUUCCUACCCCUUUGUGCCCUCCCUGCCCCCCCCCGCCUGCCCCCUAUCGCCCUUGCACCCAACCCCCCCCCCCUUACCUUUCACUCCUGGCCCCGGGCUGGGGGGAGGAAUCCGAGGGUCUGAAACCAAAGGGAAAGUCAAGGGAAGCCCCUAAAACAAAAAGUGAAACUUCUGCCGAGCUCCCUCAGCCAGGCUGGUGCCUCCCCCUCUGCCCCCAGGCUCCCGGGCUUUGCCCAGAGCGCUGCAGGCUGACGUCAAGGGCCCAAAUUCCUGACUUUCCCCGAAGGCAGAUUUGUCCAUGUAAGGAAUGUAAGCAGUUGUGCGCAAAGCCAGGCAUGUGCUUAAAUCUUUGCAGGAUUUGGGGCCUCAGUUUUUAACACGGAGAGACACAUUCAACUUAAAGCAGCAAGAUGAACAGUGGCAGCUUGUUGGAAGAACAACAAAAAAGGCACCAGAAUUCCUACGUUGGCUCUGGAAAACAUUGGAUGUGUUGUCAGCGGAGAAAAUUACCUAUGUGAGAAGCCAUGAAAUAGACAACUACUAUUUAAUCUGGUAUCUUUUUAGUGAAUAUGCUGAAAAAGAACCUUCAGAAGGCAGUAAAACUGGACAGAGCUUCUGUAUUUAUUAAAGGAAUGGCUUUUAUUAUUUCCAUAAGUAAUUCCCUUGCCCAGAGCCCACAUAUUCAUUGCCACUGUGAGAAUACUUUUUUAAUAUUACAUUUGAUACUGCCUCUUUUGUCUGUCUUCUGAGAUUGUGCUUUAAGUAAACAAACAGUUGUAGAAAAAAUGUGUAUGGCCAUAUAGAUUGGAUCUUUAUGAGCAAAGAGUGCCCACUGAUGAAAUUCACAUAUGAUAUUAAAGUGGAGAAGCUGUACGUACUAGAGAAGGCUGGAAUAAUACACAGACACAGGGGGGAGAGAAUCAGAAACAUGGGCUAAAAAAAAACAGAUUCCACCUAGUGAAAGACAAAUGAAUCAAUCUGACAGGAGAAAAAUCUGAAACUAAUAUUCAAAUA